Molecule: ribosomal RNA, 449 nt
Filed under: uncultured bacterium
Lineage: Bacteria
Description: bacterial SSU rRNA
Rfam family: Bacterial small subunit ribosomal RNA
Source: RNAcentral
UUCCAGACUCCUACGGGAGGCAGCAGUCGGGAAUAUUGCGCAAUGGAGGAAACUCUGACGCAGUGACGCCGCGUAUAGGAAGAAGGUUUUCGGAUUGUAAACUAUUGUCGUUAGGGAAGAAAAAAGACAGUACCUAAGGAGGAAGCUCCGGCUAACUACGUGCCAGCAGCCGCGGUAAUACGUAGGGAGCGAGCGUUAUCCGGAUUUAUUGGGUGUAAAGGGUGCGUAGACGGGUAUACAAGUUGGUUGUGAAAUCCCUCGGCUUAACUGAGGAACUGCAACCAAAACUGUAUAUCUUGAGUACAGGAGAGGUAAGUGGAAUUCCUAGUGUAGCGGUGAAAUGCGUAGAUAUUAGGAGGAACACCAGUGGCGAAGGCGACUUACUGGACUGAAACUGACGUUGAGGCACGAAAGUGUGGGGAGCAAACAGGAUUAGAUACCCGUGUAAA